Long non-coding RNA from Gossypium raimondii (Peruvian cotton), 582 nucleotides. RefSeq lists it as uncharacterized. The transcript is spliced from 2 exons. NCBI's taxonomy places the organism in Eukaryota, Viridiplantae, Streptophyta, Magnoliopsida, Malvales, Malvaceae. The record is from RefSeq and is a predicted model, not a curated record.
CCAUUUUUCUAUAUUACCAAAUAUAUUCAAAAUUUGUUCUUUUCCACUCAAUUUCAUCAUCUCAUUUUUCUAGGCGCACGAGAAUCAUAAAUUACGUAAUAUGGUGGAUUCACUGUCAGAAAUUAAGGAGCGGUGGACAACGAACCUGGAAACGGAAAAUGACCAAUCCGUUCAAUUGUUUUUUUAUAUAACAACGGUGUUGCCUCCGUGAUCUAAAUAAAAUUUGAUUCGGGUUGAAGGUGUUAGUUCGGGACUUCUGAUAUGGAUUCGUCUUCUUCUUCUUCUGAUUGGGUUUUACAUCGUAGGAUGUUGCAAAGAACAUACAAAAAUGGCAGGAUCUAGUCCUUGUGGACAAGACUAAAUAAUGAUGAUGAAAAUAUGCAGGCUACAUGUCCGAAUGGAAAAUUUCAUCAAAAAAAAUCCGUACUCAGUUGUGUUACUAUCGAAUAGUUUAAUCCUCGAAGAUUCCGGAAUCAUCUCCAUCACCAAUUUGGAGCAUAAUUAAAUUCAGCCAAAAUAAAAUAAUUCAAAAAACAAUUGAAUUUACUUUUCUAAACAAAAUAAUCAAAUAGAAGUUUUAUA